RNAcentral lists this ribosomal RNA (439 nucleotides) under uncultured bacterium. RNAcentral describes it as "partial 16S ribosomal RNA". It matches the Rfam family "Bacterial small subunit ribosomal RNA", at positions 339 to 795 of the family's 1533-position model. The record is from RNAcentral.
CUACGGGACGCAGCAGUGGGGAAUCUUGCACAAUGGAGGAAACUCUGAUGCAGCGAUGCCGCGUGAGUGAAGAAGGCCCUUGGGUUGUAAAGCUCUUUUGUCGGGAAAGAUAAUGACUGUACCCGAAGAAUAAGGUCCGGCUAACUUCGUGCCAGCAGCCGCGGUAAUACGAAGGGACCUAGCGUAAUUCGGAAUUACUGGGCGUAAAGCGCGCGUAGGCGGUUAAGUAAGUUAAUUGUGAAAGCCCAAAGCUCAACUUUGGAAUUGCAAUUAAAACUACUUAGCUAGAGUUUAUCAGAGGAAAGCGGAAUACAUAGUGUAGAGGUGAAAUUCGUAGAUAUUAUGUAGAACACCAGUUGCGAAGGCGGCUUUCUGGGAUAACACUGACGCUGAGGUGCGAAAGUAUGGGUAGCGAAGAGGAUUAGAUACCCUAGUAGUC